This 508-nucleotide ribosomal RNA is filed under the name Selaginella pallescens. RNAcentral's name for it is "partial large subunit ribosomal RNA". It matches the Rfam family "Eukaryotic large subunit ribosomal RNA", at positions 72 to 580 of the family's 3401-position model. The record is from RNAcentral. Lineage: Eukaryota; Viridiplantae; Streptophyta; Lycopodiopsida; Selaginellales; Selaginellaceae.
GGAUUUCCUAGUAGCGGCGAGCGAAACGGAAACAGCCCAGCUUGGAAAUCGGUGCGCCCCGCGCUCCGAGUUGUAGUCUGGAGAAGGGUCCUCAUCGGCGGACCGGGCUUAGGUUCCCUGGAAAGGGACGCCAGAGAGGGUGAGAGCCCCGUCUAGCCCGGACCCUGCCGUAGCACGAGGCCCUUUCGGCGAGUCGGGUUGCUUGGGAAUGCAGCCUCAAGCGGGUGGUAAAUCCCAUCCAAGGCUAAAUACUGGUGAGAGACCGAUAGCGCACAAGUACCGCGAGGGAAAGAUGAAAAGGACUUUGAAAAGAGAGUCAAAGAGUGCUUGAAAUUGCUGGGAGGGAAGCGAAUGGAUGCCUUGUGCGCCCCCUGGUUGUGUGUGGAACGGCGAGAGCCGGUCUGCCGAGCAAUGCAGGGGGCUGGCCGCAUGGGGGGCUGCGGCGGGAUAACGGUGUACGGGGCCUCGGCCCCUGCCAAUGCCGCCGCGGCCCCCGGGGCAGCGGCGG